RNAcentral lists this ribosomal RNA (706 nucleotides) under uncultured Enterobacterales bacterium. Its description in RNAcentral is "bacterial SSU rRNA". It matches the Rfam family "Bacterial small subunit ribosomal RNA", at positions 63 to 759 of the family's 1533-position model. The record is from RNAcentral. Lineage: Bacteria; Pseudomonadati; Pseudomonadota; Gammaproteobacteria; Enterobacterales.
CGAGCGGUAGCACAGGUGAGCUUGCUCCCUGGGUGACGAGCGGCGGACGGGUGAGUAAUGUCUGGGAAACUGCCUGAUGGAGGGGGAUAACUACUGGAAACGGUAGCUAAUACCGCAUAACGUCGCAAGACCAAAGAGGGGGACCUUCGGGCCUCUUGCCAUCAGAUGUGCCCAGAUGGGAUUAGCUAGUAGGUGGGGUAACGGCUCACCUAGGCGACGAUCCCUAGCUGGUCUGAGAGGAUGACCAGCCACACUGGAACUGAGACACGGUCCAGACUCCUACGGGAGGCAGCAGUGGGGAAUAUUGCACAAUGGGCGCAAGCCUGAUGCAGCCAUGCCGCGUGUGUGAAGAAGGCCUUCGGGUUGUAAAGCACUUUCAGCGAGGAGGAAGGUGGUGAGCUUAAUACGCUCAUCGAUUGACGUUACUCGCAGAAGAAGCACCGGCUAACUCCGUGCCAGCAGCCGCGGUAAUACGGAGGGUGCAAGCGUUAAUCGGAAUUACUGGGCGUAAAGCGCACGCAGGCGGUUUGUUAAGUCAGAUGUGAAAUCCCCGGCUCAACCUGGGAACUGCAUUUGAAACUGGCAAGCUAGAGUCUCGUAGAGGGGGGUAGAAUUCCAGGUGUAGCGGUGAAAUGCGUAGAGAUCUGGAGGAAUACCGGUGGCGAAGGCGGCCCCCUGGACGAGGACUGACGCUCAGGUGCGAAAG